Molecule: ribosomal RNA, 496 nt
Filed under: uncultured bacterium
Lineage: Bacteria
Description: partial 16S ribosomal RNA
Rfam family: Bacterial small subunit ribosomal RNA
Source: RNAcentral
AUUGAACGCUGGCGGAAUGCUUUACACAUGCAAGUCGAACGGUAGAGGGGGCAACCCCUCGAGAGUGGCGAACGGGUGAGUAAUAUAUCGGAACGUGCCCAGUCGUGGGGGAUAACGUAGCGAAAGUUACGCUAAUACCGCAUACGAUCUAAGGAUGAAAGCGGGGGGUCGCAAGACCUCGCGCGAUUGGAGCGGCCGAUAUCAGAUUAGGUAGUUGGUGGGGUAAAGGCUCACCAAGCCACAGAUCUGUAGCUGGUCUGAGAGGACGACCGGCCACACGUGAACUGAGAAACGGUCCAGACUCCGACGGGAGGCAGCAGUGGGGAAUGUUGGACAAUGGACGCAAGUCUGAUCCAGCCAUUCCGCGUGCAGGAUGAAGGCCCUCGGGUUGUAAACUGCUUUUGUACGGAACGAAAAGGUCUCUCUUAAUACGGGGGACUCAUGACGGUACCGUAAGAAUAAGCACCGGCUAACUACGUGCCAGCCGCCGCAGUAA